GUCACAAUGGCCUUGGAACAUGGGAGCACCCACCUUCAGAGGUCCCAUCUGGCUGUAAAUCGUCCUAGUCAUUAGGCGAUGAUAGCAAUUAGAGGAACCAAAUUGGAACUGGAGCUCAGUGUUGGAAUGUGGACUCUGACCUCAAAUUUGGAUGUUCCCCUCUUGUGAGCCACAGAUUCCCCAGCCAUGAAAUCAGAAUACAGUCAACCUCUGGCUUUCACCAUCCUUAUUAACAUAAUGAAUCAGCGUCCAUAAGCAAGUUUUCAGUGGACACAAUCCAUUGUCUCAUUUGCUGUUCCAGUUCUGCUAGCAGGUGGCACUGCAGGAGGCCUCAUUAUCGCCUUCCUCCCCCCACCCCAUCCCAAGCUAGGAAAGAGCCUCUUUCCUUUGAUCUCUGCCCCUGGGGCUUCCUGGAGCAAGAGGCGGUGGCUUUGAUUGGGCCUUGCCCACGUCAGGGAGGCUUCCUUCUGAGGUUCCCAAGAGGUUUCCAAAGCGAAUGUCCAGAGCAGGGGGCCUGGCCUGGCAUCACUCCUCAUCUGAGAUUCUCUGUGCCUGUGUUGCUCCACCUUAACCACAUAGACAAUUGAGAAUUAACUGCAAUUUCUCCCUGAGAAGCUGAGGAUCAGGUCGAGUUGGAAAAAUCUGAGUACUAAAUCCAACGUGGCUUCUCAAGUGAACUUGGAGGGCACAGAUCAUCUACUGACCUUCCUUUAACCUCUGGCUCCCUACCUGGGAAUUGCAGGAGAGGCGCAGCAUGGGAUCCGCAGACGCAGCCCGCUGUGCGGAGAGGCCAGACGAGGACUGAUCUUUCUGCUGCUUCAAAGGGAGCCGAGCCCUUCCUGCCGUUGCUGUUGAUCAAAGUCUCUGCAGAGCAUAUUUAAUGCGCCCUGCCCUCCCCCACGUUGUGCCCGGGGGGCAGAGUCCCCCCUUGUCAUGCUGAGACUUCCUCCAAACCUUACUGCAAACUCGAGAGACACCCCCACCUACCUUCCAGGCGGGGUCCCACUGCACCUACCAGGGCCAGGAGUUCCCAUUCCCUGCCGGCUCCUUCUCCAGGUGACUCAGCCCAAGGCCAGGGCCUGGCAGUGGACAUGGAUAUCAUGCCCGUUGUGCAGAUAAGAGCCCGGGCCAGAGAGGUGGUAACUUGCCCAGAGCCACAGGCUGGUUAUGCCUUGGGAAACCCCCAUUCGUAAAAGAUCACGGGGCCUGUGUCCUCACAAAGCCCGUGUCUGAUGGUGGGACAUGCUCCUCCCUCGGAGCUGCCAGUCCACCGAGCACACACAGAACCCAGAAAGACCACAGAAAUAACCCGUGUGAAAAGGAAGGGUGGGCCUUGUUUCUAAGACGUCUCACUUUCGAAAUCGUAAAAAAUCUAUAAACUCUUUUAUUUCACUUUCCCUCCCAGGUGGGGCACAAAGCAGAUUUGUCUUCCCUUUUUCCCUGUCCCCUCCCCAAAUGACACCCAGCUUCAUCUGUUUGCAAAUAGUGCUCUGCCUUACAUGUGAAAAUCCUUAAAUGCCUUUCCAUUAAAUACAGUGUGAAUUUUGAAGUCCUUAGCGUGGUGUUCAAGGCUCUGAAAACCCUUGAGAGGCCAUGUGGCCCAGUGGUUAAGGGCAUGGGCUCCUGGGCUAGCAUCCUAGCUCCUGAAACUCAUGGCUUUAACCCAUCGAUUAUUUGGAAGUAUGUUGUUUAAUUUCCAGUAUUUGGGGGAUUUUUCAGAUAAUCUCUGUUAUUUAUUUCAAGUUUAAUUCUAUUAUAGUCAGAGAACAUACCCUGCAUGAUUUAAAUUCUUUUAAAUUUGUUACGAUUUCUUUUAAGACCUAGAAUAUGGUCUAGAUUAGAGCAACUUGAAAAGAAUGUGCAUUCUGCUAUUGGUGGUGGAGCCUUCUACAAAUGUCACUUAGGUCAAGUUGGUUAAUGGUGUUGUUCAGGUCUUCCAAAUCCCCACUGAUUUUCUCUUUAUUUUUCUAUCAGUGACGGAUAAGUAUUAAAGUCCCCAAGUAUAACUGGA
Molecule: non-coding RNA, 2011 nt
Organism: Microcebus murinus (gray mouse lemur)
Lineage: Eukaryota; Metazoa; Chordata; Mammalia; Primates; Cheirogaleidae
Source: RefSeq, a predicted model, not a curated record